Molecule: long non-coding RNA, 2029 nt
Organism: Vigna radiata var. radiata (mung bean)
Lineage: Eukaryota; Viridiplantae; Streptophyta; Magnoliopsida; Fabales; Fabaceae
Exons: 3
Source: RefSeq, a predicted model, not a curated record
UAGUAUAAUCUGUUUAAAAAGUUUUCCACAAAAAUUUAAAUUAAACUAAAUUCGGUAGUUAAAACGUAAAAUUUCUGUAAUUUUUUAUGUUAAAGAUGAAAUAUAUUAUGUUUAGAUUUUUCCCAAAAGAUUAUUUGAUUAAGUACUCUUCAAAUCGUGUGGUGUUAUACUUUAGGAAAAUGAUAGUUUGACACCCUUUGGGUGACAAACUUUUUACACCAAUGACGUGUCAGCCUCUCAUUGGUUCAUCUUUAAAAAAAAAAAAAUAAACGACGUGGAAAAUGGAAGACGGUAUCAGAAAUUGGAAUGAAUCAUUUCCUGAAAUUCAAAUUCAUUCUCAGAUCUUGAGAACGAAACCUAGAGAGAGAACGAAACCCUCCCAACGACCAAAGCCCCUUGACGAUUCUACCGUCGUUCGCCGUUUAAUGGCCACCAGAGGUCCACCAAGAGGCGGCGCCGCCGAUCAUCUUCGUGUUUCUUCCCACUGAUCAUAAGUAGUCUCACUCUCGCCUCUGUCACACUCACCCACCAGCCACCGUUGAAGGAGUUCAGAGUUCACCAGAGGUAAUACCGUUCACCGCAACCGUUCCAUCGUUAGCUACUUACGAAGCCAGAAAACGCCAUUGGAGGUCGGUUUUCGAAGCUUUUUUUCAUUUAUUUCGCUAUUGGUUAGCUUUUGUUCGGUGAGUUUAAUUUUUCUAAAACUUUUGUAGGCAUUUAGGUUUUGUCUUGAUAAAGUUGAAUGUUUUUCCGAAGUUUUUGUUGAACAUUUGGUUCAAAAUGUCCUUUAUUGGUGGAAAGUUCGAAUUUUUUUUGUUAAAUUCUUUAUUGGGCAUUUAGGAUUUUUUUGUUGAAUAUAUCUUUUAAAGUUACUAGUGACAAUGAAAGCCAUUCUUUCUCCUCUAAAUAAGCUUGUGAUUAACUUAUUUUUUGAGCACCCCUUUGUUACUGUCUUUUUUUUUUCUAUUUUUUUUUCAUUCUUUCUUCAAAAGAGUUAAAACGUUGAUGUUGAGGAUUAUAAUCGAGUGAAGAAACUUGCUAUAGAAAUUCAGGUUGUUUUAUUAGCAUAAAUUGCUCAUUUAAAUGAGUAUUGGGGCCUUUUUCAACCUUACAGUUGUAUAACACAAUUGAUUUUUUUAUACAUGUUUCAUGCCUUAUACAUGAACUUUGGCCGAUUUAAAUGUAGAUGUCCUAGUUCAAAUUAGAAGAUAUGGAGAUGCUAGUGGUGGUGUUGCUCAAGCUAUGGAUGAUUUGGAGGUUCCUUCAAUUGAUGAUAAAUAUUGAAGAUCAUGGAGGAGAUGAUGACUUUAAUGAAUAUGAAGAUCAUGUGGAGGAAGAUAACUAUCAUGUAUUUAAUAUGAAUUAUUUUAUUGGAUAGUUUGUUUCAAACAUUUGUGAAUGUAUAAGUUGUUUUUCAAAUAAGAAGUCUAUCAGAGAAGCAGGAUUUUCACGUCUAGAAAAAGAUCUUGCAAGCCACUGAUUGCAGCUUAUGGAAAGAGAAAAGAGAAUUCAAGACAUUCUGCAUGAUGAGGUCACUGGGAUAUUCUNUAUAUUUGAUGUUUGGUGAUAUAUUUUCUCUAUUAACAUUAAUUGUGUUAUGAUUUAACAAGGCUAACCUAAAACUUGAUUUGGAGAAGAAUAGGAAAUAAUUGGCUCAGUAUAAGAGGAUUGAUGUUUUGUUAAGGUAGAAGGAAGACGCAGGUAAAGAGAACCAACAACUAUCUAGGCAAUUAGAUGAGAUUAAACAAGAUUAUGGAGACACAUCUAGAGAGACUUAGAGAUGAAUUAAAGAAGGAGAAGNAAGAAAGUCGCCUUGAGAGAGGGAGACAACUAAAGAGUGAAAAGGCCAUAAAGGACUCUUACAACAAUGUUGAGCAUGCCCAAUUGUCUUUUUGUGCCCAAUACCAUUUCGGUGAUUUGUUUGGUUUAAUAUCUUGUAAAGCAAUGUCUUGUUAUGAUAUGUANUAGAAGACUCAAAGAUUAUAUUUUGAAAUAUUAUUGUACCAUUAGGUUUUAUUCAUACAUUAAA